AGUGAACGCUGGCGGUAGGCCUAACACAUGCAAGUCGAACGGCAGCACAGUAAGAGCUUGCUCUUACGGGUGGCGAGUGGCGGACGGGUGAGGAAUACAUCGGAAUCUACUUUUUCGUGGGGGAUAACGUAGGGAAACUUACGCUAAUACCGCAUACGACCUACGGGUGAAAGCAGGGGAUCUUCGGACCUUGCGCGAUUGAAUGAGCCGAUGUCGGAUUAGCUAGUUGGCGGGGUAAAGGCCCACCAAGGCGACGACCCGUAGCUGGUCUGAGAGGAUGAUCAGCCACACUGGAACUGAGACACGGUCCAGACUCCUACGGGAGGCAGCAGUGGGGAAUAUUGGACAAUGGGCGCAAGCCUGAUCCAGCCAUACCGCGCGGGUGAAGAAGGCCUUCGGGUUGUAAAGCCCUUUUGUUGGGAAAGAAAAGCAGCAGGUUAAUACCCCGCUGUUCUGACGGUACCCAAAGAAUAAGCACCGGCUAACUUCGUG
Molecule: ribosomal RNA, 492 nt
Filed under: uncultured bacterium
Lineage: Bacteria
Description: partial 16S ribosomal RNA
Rfam family: Bacterial small subunit ribosomal RNA
Source: RNAcentral